Molecule: ribosomal RNA, 1692 nt
Filed under: Escherichia coli
Lineage: Bacteria; Pseudomonadati; Pseudomonadota; Gammaproteobacteria; Enterobacterales; Enterobacteriaceae
Description: bacterial LSU rRNA
Rfam family: Bacterial large subunit ribosomal RNA
Source: RNAcentral
AUGCUGGAGGUAUCAGAAGUGCGAAUGCUGACAUAAGUAACGAUAAAGCGGGUGAAAAGCCCGCUCGCCGGAAGACCAAGGGUUCCUGUCCAACGUUAAUCGGGGCAGGGUGAGUCGACCCCUAAGGCGAGGCCGAAAGGCGUAGUCGAUGGGAAACAGGUUAAUAUUCCUGUACUUGGUGUUACUGCGAAGGGGGGACGGAGAAGGCUAUGUUGGCCGGGCGACGGUUGUCCCGGUUUAAGCGUGUAGGCUGGUUUUCCAGGCAAAUCCGGAAAAUCAAGGCUGAGGCGUGAUGACGAGGCACUACGGUGCUGAAGCAACAAAUGCCCUGCUUCCAGGAAAAGCCUCUAAGCAUCAGGUAACAUCAAAUCGUACCCCAAACCGACACAGGUGGUCAGGUAGAGAAUACCAAGGCGCUUGAGAGAACUCGGGUGAAGGAACUAGGCAAAAUGGUGCCGUAACUUCGGGAGAAGGCACGCUGAUAUGUAGGUGAAGUCCCUCGCGGAUGGAGCUGAAAUCAGUCGAAGAUACCAGCUGGCUGCAACUGUUUAUUAAAAACACAGCACUGUGCAAACACGAAAGUGGACGUAUACGGUGUGACGCCUGCCCGGUGCCGGAAGGUUAAUUGAUGGGGUUAGCGCAAGCGAAGCUCUUGAUCGAAGCCCCGGUAAACGGCGGCCGUAACUAUAACGGUCCUAAGGUAGCGAAAUUCCUUGUCGGGUAAGUUCCGACCUGCACGAAUGGCGUAAUGAUGGCCAGGCUGUCUCCACCCGAGACUCAGUGAAAUUGAACUCGCUGUGAAGAUGCAGUGUACCCGCGGCAAGACGGAAAGACCCCGUGAACCUUUACUAUAGCUUGACACUGAACAUUGAGCCUUGAUGUGUAGGAUAGGUGGGAGGCUUUGAAGUGUGGACGCCAGUCUGCAUGGAGCCGACCUUGAAAUACCACCCUUUAAUGUUUGAUGUUCUAACGUUGACCCGUAAUCCGGGUUGCGGACAGUGUCUGGUGGGUAGUUUGACUGGGGCGGUCUCCUCCUAAAGAGUAACGGAGGAGCACGAAGGUUGGCUAAUCCUGGUCGGACAUCAGGAGGUUAGUGCAAUGGCAUAAGCCAGCUUGACUGCGAGCGUGACGGCGCGAGCAGGUGCGAAAGCAGGUCAUAGUGAUCCGGUGGUUCUGAAUGGAAGGGCCAUCGCUCAACGGAUAAAAGGUACUCCGGGGAUAACAGGCUGAUACCGCCCAAGAGUUCAUAUCGACGGCGGUGUUUGGCACCUCGAUGUCGGCUCAUCACAUCCUGGGGCUGAAGUAGGUCCCAAGGGUAUGGCUGUUCGCCAUUUAAAGUGGUACGCGAGCUGGGUUUAGAACGUCGUGAGACAGUUCGGUCCCUAUCUGCCGUGGGCGCUGGAGAACUGAGGGGGGCUGCUCCUAGUACGAGAGGACCGGAGUGGACGCAUCACUGGUGUUCGGGUUGUCAUGCCAAUGGCACUGCCCGGUAGCUAAAUGCGGAAGAGAUAAGUGCUGAAAGCAUCUAAGCACGAAACUUGCCCCGAGAUGAGUUCUCCCUGACUCCUUGAGAGUCCUGAAGGAACGUUGAAGACGACGACGUUGAUAGGCCGGGUGUGUAAGCGCAGCGAUGCGUUGAGCUAACCGGUACUAAUGAACCGUGAGGCUUAACCUUACAACGCCGAAGCUGUU